Molecule: ribosomal RNA, 385 nt
Filed under: uncultured crenarchaeote
Lineage: Archaea; Thermoproteati; Thermoproteota
Description: bacterial SSU rRNA
Rfam family: Archaeal small subunit ribosomal RNA
Source: RNAcentral
AACCAGCACCUCGAGUGGUCAGGAGGUUUAUUGGGCCUAAAGCAUCCGUAGCCGGUUGCAUAAGUUUUCGGUUAAAUCUAUGCGCUCAACGUAUAGGCCGCCGAAAAUACUGUGCAGCUAGGGAGUGGGAGAGGUACACGGUACUCAAUAGGAAGGGGUAAAAUCCUUUGAUCUAUUGAUGACCACCUGUGGCGAAGGCGGUGUACCAGAACACGUUCGACGGUGAGGGAUGAAAGCUGGGGGAGCAAACCGGAUUAGAUACCCGGGUAGUCCCAGCUGUAAACGAUGCAGACUCGGUGAUGCAUUGGCUUGUGGCCAAUGCAGUGCCGCAGGGAAGCCGUUAAGUCUGCCGCCUGGGAAGUACGUACGCAAGUAUGAAACUUAW